RNAcentral lists this ribosomal RNA (497 nucleotides) under uncultured bacterium. RNAcentral describes it as "partial 16S ribosomal RNA". It matches the Rfam family "Bacterial small subunit ribosomal RNA", at positions 28 to 507 of the family's 1533-position model. The record is from RNAcentral.
GAUGAACGCUGGCGGCGUGCCUAAUACAUGCAAGUCGAGCGAACGGACGAGAAGCUUGCUUCUCUGAUGUUAGCGGCGGACGGGUGAGUAACACGUGGAUAACCUACCUAUAAGACUGGGAUAACUUCGGGAAACCGGAGCUAAUACCGGAUAAUAUUUUGAACCGCAUGGUUCAAAAGUGAAAGACGGUCUUGCUGUCACUUAUAGAUGGAUCCGCGCUGCAUUAGCUAGUUGGUAAGGUAACGGCUUACCAAGGCAACGAUGCAUAGCCGACCUGAGAGGGUGAUCGGCCACACUGGAACUUAGACACGGUCCAGACUCCUACGGGAGGCAGCAGUAGGGAAUCUUACGCAAUGGGCGAAAGCCUGACGGAGCAACGCCGCGUGAGUGAUGAAGGUCUUCGGAUCGUAAAACUCUGUUAUUAGGGAAGAACAUAUGUGUAAGUAACUGUGCACAUCUUGACGGUACCUAAUCAGAAAGCCACGGCUAACUACGUG